CGGGAUGUGGCGCAGUCAGGUUAGCGUGCUGGUCUGGGGGACCAGAGGUCGGGAGUUCGAAUCUCCCCAUCCCGA
This 75-nucleotide transfer RNA is filed under the name Flavobacteriales bacterium. Its description in RNAcentral is "tRNA-Pro". It matches the Rfam family "tRNA". From Rfam's summary of the family: Transfer RNA (tRNA) molecules are approximately 80 nucleotides in length. Their secondary structure includes four short double-helical elements and three loops (D, anti-codon, and T loops). Lineage: Bacteria; Pseudomonadati; Bacteroidota; Flavobacteriia; Flavobacteriales. The record is from RNAcentral.